Molecule: long non-coding RNA, 1860 nt
Filed under: Mytilus galloprovincialis (Mediterranean mussel)
Lineage: Eukaryota; Metazoa; Mollusca; Bivalvia; Mytilida; Mytilidae
Source: RNAcentral
GUUUUAUAAUUUUAUUUUACCAGUCAAAACAAUAAAUUGCUGAUGUUACAUAAAUAUUUAACAACGCACAUUCAAUCUGAUGAUAAUGGAAAUAUUCAAUAUUAUCUAUACAAAACUUCUAGUUGAGUAUAUGUGGACAUGAUUUGUCAUUUGUAAACAGCUCCAACAAAUGAAAUUAGCCACUGAGAUGACCAUAUUUAUUCUUUUUAGACAUAUUCAAUCAUCAUUAAGUUGUAACAGACCAUCCACACAACAUACUGUGGAUUCAUUAUUAUUCGUUGGAUACUAAUUUUUGUGGGAACAGGUGAACCACGAAAUUAAAUGUUCAACGAAUAACAAAAUUUUAUAUAGGCUUGUAUGUAGACUUCCGCAAAACCAUGAAAUUAAAUAUCCAUGAACAUACAAGUUUUCCUUAAUCCACGCGAAUUUGAACCAACAAAAAUAAAUGAAUCCACAGUGCCUUUUAUUUUAAAUAUGCUCAUAGACUCCAUGACAGAUCUUAUAAUAAUAUAGUGUACAGUAUCUGAGUCAGUGGUGUAUAAAUGGUCUAUUUUACAACCCAUUGAAAACAAUUGAAACUGAACAAUUAAUACACAAUCUUAAUUAUGCUAUCACGAUUAUAGGGAAAAAGGGAAGAGAGGAUGUUAUAUUGCACAUUUAACUUAACUUUAUAAUGAAAAUGAUAACAUAUACAUACAUACACUCGUAACAUGCAAUGUUCACUUAUACAAAUAUAAAAAUAUCGUCAUUAAAAUAAUUAAAAUGCAUGUUUAAAGCUAUGAUUAAGACAUACGGCAUAUUAAUUAGUUAACCAGAUCUACAAAGCAUUCGUAUAUUACUGUGUAAGUACAUAAGUUAUAGCUUGUAAAAAAGCAAGGUUUUGAAUACAUGGUUUAAGAGUUAACAGCAAAGUCUUAUUUUUUCAAUUAGUCAAGCCUUUCACUAACCCUCAAAUAGAUACAAAAUAAGUACUUUAUUUAUAGCUUGUAAUAAGCAAUGGUUAUGAAUACGUUGGUUUAAGACUUUUAUACAUCAAAGUCUUAUUUUGAUUGGUCCAGCUUUUGACUAAUCCUCAAAUACAUACAAAAUAAGUACUUUGACACUUGGUGGUUUGAACAAAAAACUGAUGAAAUAGACUAGUUCCAUGCAUUUCUGUCAAAAACUUUGGUUUUAGUGAACAUCAUUCAUGCAUUAAGGGGCAUCCUUAUUUCAACUCCCAGGUUGAGCAAAUGGUUAGGAAAAGAUGAUGCUCGACUGCACGAAUUAUUGGGCAAAUUAAAUUCUUAUAAUUGUCAAUCAGCACUGCUGUCAUUAGGUAAAUGUCAUGAAGUACCUACAGAAGAAACAUUCUUUCUAGUUUAUCCUCCAUGAUGACAAUCACUUAGACGCUAGAUAAACAUUCAUAGUACAGGGAUGCAGGUGAUCCCCUCUAUCUGGUAAAUGACGUCAUAAAGGCACGCAUAAUUGAUGAUUUUUUUUAAUAAGGACAUAAAUUGAAAUUGGUCUCUUCAUACAUAUUUGGUUGUAUAGAUAACUACUGGCAUCUUAUAUGUUGGUAAAAAAAAAAGUAAAUGAUACAAUUCUCGUAUGGUUUCCAUGGAUACUGUAGCACCUGGCUAAUAUAAAUGGAUGGACUUAUUAUGUGUCAGACAAUAAUUCUAAGAAAUGAUUACCACCAUUUUUAUAAUCAUGACUUGCAGAAUUUAUGUAAAUAUUACCAUGCUAAAUAUUUUUGAAAGCAGAGGUUUUGCUUUAAGAAAAUGAACAUAUGGAAUUACAACAAAGUAUAACAGUUACACUAUGAUAAACAAAAUGUGCAGUGUCCUAUAAAAUGACCACAACAUUUCAUAAACUGAAUAU